GGGGGAUGGGACUGCUUGGAGUGGUCACUACACUUGCAAUGUAGUUAGCAGAUGAGUUCGAAUCUCAUAUCCUCCACCA
This 79-nucleotide transfer RNA is filed under the name Aeromonas phage 4_4572. RNAcentral's name for it is "tRNA-Ala". It matches the Rfam family "tRNA". Rfam says of the family: Transfer RNA (tRNA) molecules are approximately 80 nucleotides in length. Lineage: Duplodnaviria; Heunggongvirae; Uroviricota; Caudoviricetes; Grimontviridae. The record is from RNAcentral.